This 119-nucleotide ribosomal RNA is filed under the name Diaphorina citri (Asian citrus psyllid). Lineage: Eukaryota; Metazoa; Arthropoda; Insecta; Hemiptera; Psyllidae. The record is from RNAcentral.
GGGAGACGUCGCAGCUCGUUGAACGCACCAGUUUUCCAUCCAUCACUGAAGUUAAGCCAAUGUUGCUUUUGGUUGAUAUCUGGAUGGGUGACCAUCUGGGAAAUCGUGUGUUUCAGGCU